RNAcentral lists this ribosomal RNA (1434 nucleotides) under uncultured bacterium. RNAcentral's name for it is "bacterial SSU rRNA". It matches the Rfam family "Bacterial small subunit ribosomal RNA". The record is from RNAcentral.
AGAGUUUGAUCCUGGCUCAGGAUGAACGCCGGCGGUGUGCCUAAUACAUGCAAGUCGUACGCACUGGCCCAACUGAUUGAUGGUGCUUGCACCUGAUUGACGAUGGAUCACCAGUGAGUGGCGGACGGGUGAGUAACACGUAGGUAACCUGCCUCGGAGCGGGGGAUAACAUUUGGAAACAGAUGCUAAUACCGCAUAACAACAAAAGCCACAUGGCUUUUGUUUGAAAGAUGGCUUUGGCUAUCACUCUGGGAUGGACCUGCGGUGCAUUAGCUAGUUGGUAAGGUAACGGCUUACCAAGGCAAUGAUGCAUAGCCGAGUUGAGAGACUGAUCGGCCACAAUGGAACUGAGACACGGUCCAUACUCCUACGGGAGGCAGCAGUAGGGAAUCUUCCACAAUGGGCGCAAGCCUGAUGGAGCAACACCGCGUGAGUGAAGAAGGGUUUCGGCUCGUAAAGCUCUGUUGUUGGAGAAGAACGUGCGUGAGAGUAACUGUUCACGCAGUGACGGUAUCCAACCAGAAAGUCACGGCUAACUACGUGCCAGCAGCCGCGGUAAUACGUAGGUGGCAAGCGUUAUCCGGAUUUAUUGGGCGUAAAGCGAGCGCAGGCGGUUGCUUAGGUCUGAUGUGAAAGCCUUCGGCUUAACCGAAGAAGUGCAUCGGAAACCGGGCGACUUGAGUGCAGAAGAGGACAGUGGAACUCCAUGUGUAGCGGUGGAAUGCGUAGAUAUAUGGAAGAACACCAGUGGCGAAGGCGGCUGUCUGGUCUGCAACUGACGCUGAGGCUCGAAAGCAUGGGUAGCGAACAGGAUUAGAUACCCUGGUAGUCCAUGCCGUAAACGAUGAGUGCUAGGUGUUGGAGGGUUUCCGCCCUUCAGUGCCGGAGCUAACGCAUUAAGCACUCCGCCUGGGGAGUACGACCGCAAGGUUGAAACUCAAAGGAAUUGACGGGGGCCCGCACAAGCGGUGGAGCAUGUGGUUUAAUUCGAAGCUACGCGAAGAACCUUACCAGGUCUUGACAUCUUGCGCUAACCUUAGAGAUAAGGCGUUCCCUUCGGGGACGCAAUGACAGGUGGUGCAUGGUCGUCGUCAGCUCGUGUCGUGAGAUGUUGGGUUAAGUCCCGCAACGAGCGCAACCCUUGUUACUAGUUGCCAGCAUUAAGUUGGGCACUCUAGUGAGACUGCCGGUGACAAACCGGAGGAAGGUGGGGACGACGUCAGAUCAUCAUGCCCCUUAUGACCUGGGCUACACACGUGCUACAAUGGACGGUACAACGAGUCGCAAGCUCGCGAGAGUAAGCUAAUCUCUUAAAGCCGUUCUCAGUUCGGACUGUAGGCUGCAACUCGCCUACACGAAGUCGGAAUCGCUAGUAAUCGCGGAUCAGCAUGUCGCGGUGAAUACGUUCCCGGGCCUUGCACACACCGCCCGUCA